This 497-nucleotide ribosomal RNA is filed under the name uncultured bacterium. RNAcentral's name for it is "partial 16S ribosomal RNA". It matches the Rfam family "Bacterial small subunit ribosomal RNA", at positions 28 to 507 of the family's 1533-position model. The record is from RNAcentral.
GAUGAACGCUGGCGGCGUGCCUAAUACAUGCAAGUCGAGCGAACGGACGAGAAGCUUGCUUCUCUGAUGUUAGCGGCGGACGGGUGAGUAACACGUGGAUAACCUACCUAUAAGACUGGGAUAACUUCGGGAAACCGGAGCUAAUACCGGAUGAUAUUUUGAACCGCAUGGUUCAAAAGUGAAAGACGGUCUUGCUGUCACUUAUAGAUGGAUCCGCGCUGCAUUAGCUAGUUGGUAAGGUAACGGCUUACCAAGGCAACGAUGCAUAGCCGACCUGAGAGGGUGAUCGGCCACACUGGAACUGAGACCCGGUCCAGACUCCUAAGGGAGGCAGCAGUAGGGAAUCUUCCGCCAUGGGCGAAAGCCUGACGGAGCAACGCCGCGUGAGUGAUGAAGGUCUUCGGAUCGUAAAACUCUGUUAUUAGGGAAGAACAUAUGUGUAAGUAACUGUGCACAUCUUGACGGUACCUAAUCAGAAAGCCACGGCUAACUACGUG